UGCAUGGGAGGUCUUUAAUAUUUUGCUUAGUCUCUUUGUCCUUAGAAGAGAAAGUUUUUGAAAAUACAUAUUCAAGGAGGAAUCCUCUCGAACAAGGGGGAAUGAUGUGAUAAUAACUAAGAAAAAGGCCAAUAAUGAUCAGUAGGAUUCUUUGAUCAAUGAAGGGCGAAAAAGACUAAACAACAGUAAAGUUCUUGGACAUAUCCGCAAGUAUUCUCGAAUA
RNAcentral lists this long non-coding RNA (223 nucleotides) under Carica papaya (papaya). RNAcentral describes it as "long non-coding RNA (CPAP_LNC009592)". Lineage: Eukaryota; Viridiplantae; Streptophyta; Magnoliopsida; Brassicales; Caricaceae. The record is from RNAcentral.